AAGUCGUAACAAGGUCUCCGUAGGUGAACCUGCGGAGGGAUCAUUAUUGAGCGAGGGCCUCCGGGCUCGACCUCCAACCCCUAUGCCAUCCUACACUUUGUUGCCUCGGGGGCGACCCGGCCUUCGGGCGUCGGGGCCCCCGGCGGUCCACUCAACUCUGCAUCUUUGCGUCCGAGUCAUAUGAAUUAAAUCAAAACUUUCAACAACGGAUCUCUUGGUUCUG
This 223-nucleotide unclassified non-coding RNA is filed under the name fungal sp. Its description in RNAcentral is "partial internal transcribed spacer region". The stretch from base 1 to 46 matches the Rfam family "Eukaryotic small subunit ribosomal RNA", at positions 1786 to 1831 of the family's 1831-position model. The record is from RNAcentral. Lineage: Eukaryota; Fungi.